GAUGAACGCUGGCGGCGUGCCUUAUACAUGCAAGUCGAGUGGGUUUAGACCCACGGCAAACGGGUGAGUAACACGUAGGUACUUUCCUUGUCACAGGAAUAACCCUCCGAAAGGAGGGCUAAUACCUGAUGUGAUCGCAAGAUUAAAGGGUAUCCGCAAAGAUUACCGGACAAGAAGAGGCCUGCGGCCUAUCAGCUAGUUGGCGGGGUAAAUGCCCACCAAGGCUAUGACGGGUAGCUGGUCUUAUGAGGAUGAUCAGUCACAUGGGCACUGAGACACGAGCCCAACUCCUACGGGAGGCAGCAGUAGGGAAUUUUGCGCAAUGGGCGAAAGCCUGACGCAGCGACGCCGCGUGCGGGAUGAAGGCCUUCGGGUCGUAAACCGCUUUUAUAAGGGACGAACUUUGACGGUACCUUAUGAAUAAGAGGUUGCUAACUCUGUG
This 442-nucleotide ribosomal RNA is filed under the name uncultured bacterium. RNAcentral's name for it is "partial 16S ribosomal RNA". It matches the Rfam family "Bacterial small subunit ribosomal RNA", at positions 28 to 507 of the family's 1533-position model. The record is from RNAcentral.